GGGGCGCUUAAGUGGGCAAUACGCACUUUACUUUGCUGUAGAAAUCAUCCCUGAGAUUCUUUGCUAUAUCUUCAUCAUGUUCAAGAUGAAUUUUUCGGUCAGCCUUAUCGUCGGAUGCCUGAGCUUGAUGAUCAUAGCUACCAUGGUUACGGAGACAGACGCUCAAUCUUCCGAUUCCUGUAUCAACAUUCUGAACUGCUUCACAUGCUUUACCGACUGUAAAGUUCGUGGUUAUGCAUAUGGAGUGUGCAGGCAAAGCGGUUGUCAAUUUGGUUACGCCCGAUGUCAGUGUUAUGACUUCUAACGCACACUGAUAACUAUUCACAAUCUUCAAGUGCAAUGUAUAUUAAGCAAUAACAUUGCUAUUUCAAACAGUUUCCCAACGCAAAUUCAAUAAACCUACAUGAUUGACA
This is a long non-coding RNA of Ostrea edulis (European flat oyster), 413 nucleotides long. RefSeq lists it as uncharacterized. The transcript is spliced from 2 exons. NCBI's taxonomy places the organism in Eukaryota, Metazoa, Mollusca, Bivalvia, Ostreida, Ostreidae. The record is from RefSeq and is a predicted model, not a curated record.